CAAACUUGGUCUCAUGCAAUUCCGAUCAUUACAUAAUUAGUUACAGCAUAUACAAUACCACCACAACACAACUCUACAUCCUUAUUAACAAACACCAAUUCUAAUCCAUCAUAAAUAAAUAUAAGAGCACACUAUUAAUAGCUUUCACACCUCAUAAUUCUAAUAUAUAAAUUCACUAACAAAUCUAUUCUAACAACAUUACAAGGCUAAUCAUUAAAUACAACAAACAAUCCAACUUAUUCUAUGGUUCCUCUAACCUAAGUUUUCACAACACCGUAAAUAUUAGACAUGCGAAACUUAAACCAUACCUUGGCCGAUCACUUAGUUUCACCCAAGGCAGCCUCACAACAUAAAACACAGCCCCUCCAAGCUCAAUUAAAACAGCCACAAACCAAGCCUUGAUCAUCAAUAAGCCUCCAAAUACUCCCAAUUCAAUUCUAAUGCAUAUAUACCCACUUAAUUUACACCUAAUUCAUAUACAUGUUCCAAAUUCAGUUUUUCUACUAUAAAUGCAAGAUUGGGAUAGGAUUAGGGUGUUUUUACCAUACCCAUAUGCUCAAUAACUUGAGCCCACAAGUUCCGGAAGCUAACUUGAACCUAGAACACAAAAAUUGGACAAGAUUCACUAUAGGUUUUCAAGUUUACCAAAAAAAGAGGGAUAGAGAUUCUGAACCUAAUAGGAGACUUACCAGUGAAAUUGUUCAGAUAGAAAGGUGGAACUCGAUGCACUGGACGCGUGGCCGUGAACGGUGCGGCGAUCGGAGCUCAAAUGAGGAAGUUAUGGUAGUUGGAAGGAAUGGUGAGGGUUUUGGAAUCUCCUCUCCCCCCCCCCCUUGCUGUUUUGCUGCGUUGCUACGAUGAAAUGAAGAAGAUGAAGCUGCUGCUUCUUUAUGUUAUGGGUCCGGUUGGACCCACGGGCCUGGUUUGGGUCCCGGUUCAACCGAUUCGGUCUUUUCGGUCCGUUGUUGGGCCUAAUUUUUGAAAUUGAUAUCAAAAUUCUUGUUUCGACGAACUCUAUCCUAUUUUGAUAUUAGUUUUGUAUUUUUAUCUUUCCUAAUUAAAAUUUAAUUUAUUAACUAAUAAUUUACCGAUUUUUGUGGGUUUACACCAGCGGCACCAACAACUCCGACGGCAAGGACGAUAGCUUGAUUCAGGUUCACCCGAACGGCGACGGUGAUGGUCCUCCCGACUCCACGAGCCACGAUGGUGCACGGCGGCCGCGAGGACGAAGCCUUUCUCCUCUUCCCCGUUGCGCGCUUCCUUCUCCUCUGCGUCUAUCUUUUUCUUUUCCGCUCGAUCUUCCUCUUUCUCUCUCCUCCGUUCUGUUUUUCAACGGUGACGACGGCUCCCAAUUCUGUCGGCGCUGUCUCUCUCCUCCCUCCUCUCUUUUUUUCUCUGAGCAUGGGUGAGAAUGAAAAUGCGUGUGUGUGGGGCUGAGAGAUAGUGAGGGGGUGAGGUGAGUGAAAAAUGUUGGUGUAUGACUAAGGUUAGAGAAAGAAGAAAAAUAUUUAAGAGUAGACUUCAUCAUCUCACUUAUUUAUUUAUUUACUUAUUUUUCUGGUUAUUAUAACAUGUCAUCAAAUAAUCGUUUAACCACUUAUCUCUCAUUUUAUUAAUAAUUUUUUUAUAAAAUAUCUUUUCAAUUUUAUUAUAGAAAAUAAGAAAAUAUAUGUUUUAAAUUAGUAUAUUGAUAAAGUAGAUUAAAAAUUACAUAAAUAAUUUAAAUAUUUAAAUAUUUAAAAUAACAAUAGUUAAUUAAAAUUCUAGAAAGUAUAAAAAAGAAGAAGAUACUCUUACCUCAGGAAAGUUAAGUUGGAGUAAAGAUUUUUUUUAACCAAAAUAUUUGGAUUGAGAAAGUAAAAAGUUAGAUAGAAAUAAAGAUAGAAAGAGACAAGAGAAUAAAGUGACACAUGAGUAUGAAUAAAAAUAUGUUAGAUAGACCUAUUACAAAAGAAGCAGUCUGUUCUGUUAUAAAAGAGACUCAAUCUCAGCCUAUUAUAAAAGUUUUAAUAUCUUAAUAUGUCAGGUCCAAGUAAAAAUGAUAAUAGGACUCUAUGGGGCGGGGACCCCUUGCCGCAUCUCCCGUCCUUGUUUAGUAAAGUCCCUUAUUUUUGUCUUAUUCUAGCACAACCUCACAGGUUCCAUUUAUUUUCUCUCAUUGGGAAAGCGAAUCCCCGCAGAUAUUCAUAGAUAUUAAAUUUAAAUAAAAUUUAAAAAGUAACACUAUCAUAAUAAAAUGUAAUACAAUUCAACUAAAUAUAUCAAAUUAAAGCAUAAUCUAAAUACAAAUUUAACAUAAUCAAUAUACACACAAAAUUUUCAAUGUACAUUUUAAAAUAAAAUGAAAUAAAAAAAAACUUCCAACAAAAUAAUAUAACAAUUCUUGGUGGUUGAUCAUAGCUGGAUAAUAAUAUCCCCUUGUAAAACACAAAUUUGAAUAAUUAGUUAUUACAAAUUUAAAUAUUAUACACAUCAUUAAUUUGUUUUUUGAUAAAACUUAAAAAAGUCAAUAAACAUACACUUACAUAAAACUAAGUUGGAUUGGUCUAGUGGUUAGCUCACUAAUAUGCUUAAAAAAAAGUGUUGGGGGCUUGAAUUCCGCCUUGUGCAUGCAGCAACCCAUUAACCAGCAACAAACUCUUAAAUAGAACUCAAUACCACGGCGGAUCAAUCAUUGGCCUGUCAGGUUUGAGGAUAACGUGGGAAACCAAAAAAACAUACACUUAAGGAUAUUUAAGUAAUUUUUUGCAGAAAUUUCACGGAUAGGUCUCGUGGGACGGGUUAGCGGGUAUCUCCAUUCCCGCUCCCGUCCCCAUAGAGAUUUUGCGGGUCCUCGUUAGCUCCCCCAUCGUGGGUAAUCCCUAUGGGUAUUCACGGAUGCCAGACGUGUAGAUGCAGAUUUUUUUUAUUAUUUUUAGGCCCAAACUUACUAAUUAACUUUAUUGACUUGUCAGACCUGUCUGGACCUGUUAAAAUAUAAAUAAAUAUAUAAAUAAUAUUUUUUAUUAACANNACACGCUUAAUAAGUUCUUCAUGAAUGACUUAGUAAAGGACAUAAGGUACAAUGAUGUGAGCGAGCUUUACUGGCUUGAACAUGGGAAGGAGUUGGAUGGUGGGUUGAGGUUGCUUAGACUAGACAUGGAUGUGGUGAGUAUGUAUAAAGCAGCCAUUGCUAAUGGGAGGAGAGUUGAGGUGUUCACCGAGCAUCCAUUUGACCUUCCUGAGUUCGUAGAAGAGAACAAUGAACCCGAACCAGAGCUUGAGAUAUUAACUGUUAAUAGGACCCCAGUGAAGCACAGAACCAAACUGUGUGUUAGGAGACCCCCAACCCCAAAGAAGAAGAGAAAGAGAGUGGUGAAAUUGAGUGAGACUGUAGGAGGUGUGCCUGGGCCGGAUGCUCAAACAGAGGAUGCUGUGGUAGAGAAAGAAGUCUAUCAUAGUCGAAGAAACACAGAACAACCAGAUUUAAGAAAUGAUCAACCAAAUAUACCCAUCCAUUCACCAAAGGUAACCUUCGAUGAGGCAACAAGGAUCAUUCAACUACCGAAUCCACCCACAGAAUUGAAAAUGGCAAUGUGGAGAUGUGCCAAGGCCACAACCCCUCAAGAGUUCAAUGCUGUACUGGAUAGGAUCAAAAGGGUCAAUCCCCAUGCUUGGGAGUAUCUGAAUAGGAUCCCUCCAAGUCAAUGGAGUAGGAGUGGUUUUAGUUAGUAUCCAAAGUCUGACAACUACAUAAACAACAACUGCGAAUCAUUCAAUUCUAGGAUCAAGAAAAUGAGAGGGAAGCCUAUCAUAACUAUGCUGGAAGAGGUGCGGUGUUAUAUGAUGAGUAUCAUUGCAAGAAAUAAGAAGGCGUUAGUGGGUUAUAAUGGAGUAAUCACUCCUGUGCAACAGAGUAGGCUUGAAAAAGAGAAAAGAGAGAGCAAUAAGUGGCGGCCGUUUCCCACUGGAGAUGAUCCUGGAAAUGUGUAUGAAGUACAGUGCCUGCUUCAUAAGGUUAUGGUGGAUAUAGGCAAGAGGACUUAUUCCUGUAGGUUUUGGCAACUGACUGGCUUGCCGUGCAGGCAUGCAUGUGCUGCACUGGCAUACCAGAAUAGGAAGCCAGAGGAACAUGCACAUAACUGGCUUUCUAUGGGGGCAUAUAAUAGCACAUACCAGUACGUCAUCCAGCCUGUCUCUAGUCAAGAAUACUGGCAGCAUGUUGAUCUACCUCCUAUAUUGUCCCCAGUAUACAAGAAGCAGAUUGGGAGGCCAAAGUUGAAAAGAGAUAAAAAGAACGACGCCCCAAAAGAACCCACCCCAGAUCCUCAUAGGGCCCCCAGAAAGUUUGGCCCCAACACAUGCAAGUACUGCCUAAAGGUAAACCAUAAUUCAUAUGCUCCCAUUACUUGUGCUUUCAAUGUCCACAAUUUGAAAGUUCAUGUUACAUGUAUUGCAGACUGAACACAACAGCCGUAGCUGUUCCAAGAAGAAGGAAGCAAUGGCUGGGAGUGUUGGGAGACAAAGUUCCAAUCAACACCCAGCUGCUGAGGAUGAUGGGGAUGAGGCUGCAAGACUGGAGGAGACUCUGAAAGCUGUUGAAGCAGCUGAAGCAGCUGCAUCUCAGCCACCACAUGUAAGUCUAAUGAUGUAUUUUACAACUUCAUUUUAAAAGUUCUUAAUCAAAUCAAUCAUAUGUGUCUGCUGUUGUAGGAGACCACCCCAGUUCCUCAACCCAUUCCUAAUCCACUGAGGUCUCCUUCAACUAGGCCACCAACUGCAAAAAAGCCACCAAGGAAGAAGAAGAAUCUGCGAAGACCACCACCAACUACUCACCAACCACAUUCUGCUCCAGCAACACCAACUACUACUACUCCAUCACCCACGGCCUCUGAUGUGCCACCCACUGUGACACCUCAAACCAUGCAAGCUGCCUCCGAGGGCACUACUUCCAGAUUCAUGGAAUUCAUGCCUAGUCCCACAGGGAUAGGAUCAAGCUCAGGUAGGUGGCCUCAGCCUGCCUUCCGUCCACCACCAAAAAAGAGGUCAACAACUGCACACUUGAAGGAAGGGUCAAGCGGCAGCAGCAACUCCACUCCAAUUCCAUAAAGCAAGAGUCUUUAUAUUAUGUUUUUUUUUGGUACUGUGCCAUGGCAGUUUAUGUUACAAUUGUUGGAUAUGUCACAUACUAUACCUACAAUUGCUUAUGUUUUGGUUUUCGGUGUUUGUGCAUGGUCGUAGUUGAAAACUCAUACCUAUAACUUGAACACUUCAGUUUCUCAAUUUCUACGUACUUAUGAGCUUAUUUUACCUGUAUUUCAUGUUAUUUUGGAGCAGAAAGUAAAAAUUACUUGAAAUUAGUAAUAGAUAACUUCUGCAAAUUUACAAGUCUUAUAAGACUCUAUUUGACAUUUUCUGGAUUCCAGAUGUCUACAAAUAACAGAUACAUAAUCGAACAUGGGUAUUUUUGUCAAAGCCUAACACUCAAACUACUUGUGCUCAAAACCCCCUGAGAAUCAGAUACAAAGUGCAGACAACAUUACAUACCACCACCAUUGACAUAAUCACAAGCCAAAACCUAACUUUACUAAAUUCAGCUUCACACCUCCCUAACAUCAUGAGCAUCUUCACUUCAGCCUUAGCCUCAUUAACGUCUUCCUGCAUCUUUCUUUCUGACAGUGCUCUCCUCAAACCCUCACAUUGCCCUUCAAUUUCGUCUACCCAUGCAAAGAAGUCGCAGUCCGAGUUCUAUCCAUGGCAGAAAAAUUAAAAUCAGAUACCGAUUCAACUCUCACAUAACAGGGUGUAAAACGGGUUACCUUCCAAUUGGGACAACGUACGAACCACCUCCCAGGAUUCAUCGCCGUCCCUGACUGUAAAGCGUCACCCCCAACCCACAGAAACAUCUCCCAUUGAACUUCCUAUCAUGCACCCUUCCUGAAUUUGAGCUUCCAGACACACUACCACUGCCAUUCGAAGUUGGAGUAAACAGUAUUCGCCUUGACAUUGGUAUAAUUUCGAAGAUUUUUGUGAAUCUAGGGUUAGGGUUCUUAUUUGGGAUGGAACAAGGUUUGAAUUUGGGAAAUUUUGGGGUUGAAGAUACAUUAUAACGGUCACACAGCUCAGCAAUCCACAUGUGAAGUCCCCCAAGCCAUGUCACACCGGGAAGUACCACGGAGGAUGCGUUACUAACGGAGUCAACGCCGGAAUAAGGCUUGGUUAGUUUCGUCCCACGGAUGUCACCAUUGAUGGUUACAUUUGGUAGUUUUCUUCUCUCGUGAGUAUAUUUGUCAGCGUUUUCAACUUCUAUGGGUACAAAUGGUAGUUUACUCUUUUUAAAAUCUCAAUUGUCCCCACAUAGUAUUGUGUGCAGUGGCCAGUGGGUCUGUGCCUGUAUAUGCAUAUCCAUUGUGCAGAAAACCAUAUGAACAAAGGUGCACAAUAAAAGAGUGCAUGCAUGGUGCCGAGUAAUUCAAUUUUCUACUUCAAUUUUUGAAUCUACCUUUUAAAUAGAAUAAUAAUACAAUAUAAUAAUACCACAAUCACAACAUAAUUUUCAUGAAUAAAGACCUCCAAAACAUCACACCAACCAAAUAUAGGUGUAGAGCGAGUAUCAUUCAUUAGUCAAAUAUUUGUUUCGUUUAUAUAAGAAUAUUGGGAUCUUCUCUUUUAUUAUUCAUUACAGAAAGAUAUAAGAAUGAUAUACAAAGCAAAUCAUGCUAAAAACACUAAUCCCCAUUAAUUAUUAUAGUAGAUAUAUAUAAGUUACAAUAUAAUUAAAAAACAAUUAACUACUAAAAUAAUUAAAAUUUUAUCGUAGAAUAUUCAAACAUAUUUUGAUAUAAUAAUUAAACUUUUUAAUCGUAGCAUAAUCAUACUUUUCUAUAAACAUCAAAUAUAUAACUUUGUAAGGUACCUUUCUAUUAAGUUUUGUAUUUAAUAUUUAUUGUUUUAAAUUAUCGGCGAGCAAGUUAAGAAGCAAAAAAGAAAAUCAAUUACAAAGAAACAGUACGAGGAAAGACAACUCAAAAUCCGUAAAGAAUUAGAACAAAAUUAUAGUAGAAAGAGAAUUAUAAACAAUUAAAAAAAAGAUAUAUGCAACAAGAGGGUGCAUGAGAACCUUUAAACUGCUUUGGCGGAACUCCAAAGCAAACAUAAAAUCUACUUCAACCUAAACAUUUUGAUAUCUAUUUUGGGAGGCAAUUGAUAGCCCAAGGAAGAUACUAGAAAGUUAAGCUAGAUAGAGUGAUAGAGUAAGCUUCUAAACUUGCACUAAAAAUUUCAAUAAAAUUUUCAUGGUGGUCUCGAAUGAUACUACUGCAAGCUGCCAAACCAAAUUCACUAACUGAGCCAUCUGUCUUGAUCUUAAUCUAGAAUUAAGAUAUGGGCACUGAGAUACGUGGAUAAUAGAUAAUUCUACCACAAGGGAUUUACUUUUUUCAACACAUUCUACUGUAAAUUGAUAUUCUUUAGCUAGACUCAAGUUUUCUACAAAGGAAAGAAUCAUGACUAUAACCUAAGUUUUAGGCAAGUAGUUGCAAAGAAAAGGGGUCACAGAACCCAAUUGAAAGUGAGAUCAAGAUCGUCUAAAACGAAGGAGUUGGUAAAAUAAUAAAAUGAAGAGUUAAUCACACUUAAAUUGAUAAUAGGGUUCAUAUAUAAUAAAAAUUACUGUUGACAUACUUGACAAUUAGACAAUUAGUGAGUUAGUUGUGUGUACUAUAUGUGCAGAGUGUUAAUAUGAGAAGUCUGUAGUAUAAUUUUAUUGUUCAAGGAGUUAGUUAAGAGAUUGUCUAGUCAGCAAGUAGUUAAGAUGGUAUGAAAGGUGUGACUUUAGAUAUUUUUCAGAUAACUAGUGCGUGAUAGAAAGUAGUAUAAAUAGUUAGCUCAAGUAUAUUUGUUCUUUAUAGUUCAUCAUUCUUAUGAAUCAUUCUUGAAUUCCCUUUCACAAACUCUCUUCCUCCUCUGUUCUCUUUUGACACGAAUCACCGAUUUUUCCUCAGUUACAAAAUCAAUGAUAAUUAAUUUAUAUAUAACUAUAUUUUAACUUUAGAAUUUCACUUUUUUCUUUCCAAAUUAAUAAAAACCAGGAGUUACAUGAGAAUUAUUUAAAACACAAAGAAGUGUUGGACUAAUUAUGAUUAUUGUUUGGGUCUAGCUAAUGUCUUAAGUGCACUUAUUAAAGUGUCAAACAUGAAAAUUUUCUUAUUGAAAAUAAAAGUUUGAAAGAUUUCCAUUCUUUUAUAAUAUAUUUAUCAAAAGAAAUUAAAAAUUAUCUUAACGGCGUUGUUAGAAAAUUCUUAUAUUUAAUUAAAAGAAGUCCUCCUUUAAGAAGAAACAAUGCCUCGUGAGAAAUUAUUUGUCUCAAUUGAAAAAUUUGGUGAAGGGGCUAAUAUGAUUGAAUGACUAUAAUUCUGCGGUUACGAGAUCGCGACAAAGUUAAUAGAGCGACAAAAUUAAUAGAGGACUGAUUGUUUGAAAAAAAUGAUGAUUAAAGUCGAAUUAUUAUUUUCUAAUUAUAAAGGGACAUAUAGUCCUUCCUUGAAAUAGACAAAGAUGUGGGGUUUCAAUCUUAAUAUAUAUGAAUUGCUAAUUUAUUAAAAGACAUAGAUCCUAAAGUAAAAAUAAUUUCAGAACCAUAUCAACCAAGUCCUUCCAUGAGUAACAAUGCUUUAUAUCAAGGGGCUGCAACUAGGCACCACAAAUGGAACUGGCCAUAGCCAGCAAAGAAAGAAGCCCUUGGAAUCAGGAAUCUCAUGUGGCGGAGUUGACAGAUGUACUGCUGGCUUUACUUUCUCAAGGUUUGGGAUUAUAAGAAGCUAGGUGAAGGAUCUAACUGCCUUUGGAGACAGGUCGGGUGUUGGUCCACUACUAUUUAUACGGUCCUCAACCGGAGUUGUCAUUAGGACUACAUAUUCAUAAUUCUGCUUCAUAUUCACAUCCCAGAGGUACAACAUAAGCAUGGUGAAUUAUGAGUAGAUGAAAAUCAUGUGCAGAUCAUAGUCUUUAAUCAUAGUGAAUUUGUAUAAGCCUCCUCCAAAGUGAAGAGAUUGGUAAAUGAGAAAGUAAAAGUCUAAUCAACCUUGAAUUAAGAUAGUAAAAUUCAUCUAUGAUAAAAAUUACAAAUUCAAUGGUAAUUAACCCUUCACUUUUAUCACUUUAUCAACCUUUUCAAUUUAGAUUAUUCAAAUUUAGAGAAUUCACUCUGCUAUUGAUAGUUUUUUUAAUUUCACAUGUUAACUCAAGGGUUCUAAGUUAAACUAAAAUGAUUUACAAAUAUUAGAUGACUUCUAAUAGAGAGUACAAUAGUCCUAAGUAGUAAGCACAAUAUUUUAAAUAACUCUAAAAAAGAACUAACCAUUGGUGCAUAUUUUUCAGAGUUUUGGAAAAAAUAUGAAGGAUCCAAAUUUGCAUGGACCUCUCUACCAGAAUAAGAUUUUCCUAAAAACCAAUCUAUCUAUAGAGAAUUUAGAUUGAAGGAAAAUGGGGAUAUCAAAGGGUUCUCUAACAAGUUUAAAAUAGUACAUAAAUAAUAUCUCAAGCAACUUUAGGUAUGGCUAAAAGCACUCCUUAAUAAUUACAGAUCAAUUAUUAUCCUAGACUUUCUCUGUACUAAUUCGUUCUUAUAUCAAUCUAUAUCAAACAUGCCAUUGCUGAUUUAGACAUUUGAGGAAUGUGUAUUUCAGAGUAUGUUUUUAUAAUCCUCAAAAUUUUACACAAGAAAUCUUGUAUAAGAAUAUGAAGGAUCCAAAACUGCAUGGACCUCUCUACCAGAAUAAGAUUUUCCUAAAAACCAAUCUAUCUAUAGAGAAUUUAGAUUGAAGGAAAAUAGGGAUAUCAAAGGGUUCUCUAACAUGUUUAAAAUAGUACAUAAAUAAUAUCUCAAGCAACUUUAGGUAUGGCUGAAAGCACUCCUUAAUAAUUAUAGAUCAAUUAUUAUCCUAGACUUUCUCUGUACUAAUUCGUUCUUAUAUCAAUCUAUAUCAAACAUGCCAUUGCUGAUUUAGACAUUUGGAGAAUGUGUAUUUCAGAGUAUGUUUUUAUAAUCCUCAAAAUUUUACACAAGAAAUCUUGUAUAAGAAUGUUAUUUUUUUUCAAUGUAAAAUUUCAAAGAAUGUAAAAACAUUGCACGAUAAAUAGGUCCUUUGGUGUUAUUAUAUUGUUCUGUACCACUGAACGUUUAAAAGCUUUACCAAACUAAGUCUAAGUGCAUUGCAAAAUCCAAUCGGAAACUUAAAUGAUACCAUAGGAAUUUAGAAGAGAGACUGAGAUUGAGAGAGAUAGAGACGGAGAGAUUGAGAUUAAAUUAAAUCUCUCUAUAUUAUAUUUGUUGUAAAGUAUAUAAAAGUAUCUCUUAAAAUCCUAUUUGAUUUAAGAUAAAUGUGGAGACUGAAACAAACAAAAUUACUUAAAUAUCUUGUUCAUUAAAAAAUAAAAAUUAUGAACAAUAUUAUAUAGGCCUUAGUAGAUAUUAAAUGAAGUAAUUUGUAUAUUGAUUUUAGGGAAUGACUUCAAUGGACCAACUAGAAUUUUAGAUCUUAAUGAUCUAUGUAAAAAAAAUAUAAAAUAAUCUUAUAAAAUGUCUAUACUAUUCUUGUCUUUAUCUUUUCUUCAAUUAAACAUCUUCCAUCAUAAUGCUUACUGCUAUUACUACAAAAAUAUCAACACCACCAUUAAUGGUAGCACCAACACUAUCAUUGUUCUCUCUUUUUUUGUGUUCUUCUUGUUAUGCAUUCAAACUUCGAACCAAAUCAUUGUCUCUCUUUUGUAUUUUUGAUCCAACACGCUCUUGGGAACUUGGACUCUUCUCCAUCCCGAAACUCUUCCUUAGAGACCCUAAAGCUGAGCGGCAGAAACUGAUGUCAUGGUUUCCUUCGAUAGUGCUGCGAUGCCAACACCGAAGAGGGCAAGAAGCAUGUGAGGUACUGCUGACAGGGGGUGAUAAUGAGCGGAGGAGAUCUGCGGCGGAGAUGCCAAGUUAGUGCUCCGGUGAGGCAGUGGAGCAGGGUAGUGGCGUGGUUCUUUGAAUGAAAUUCAAGGCAAGGAGAUGAACCCAACUUCUAAAUGAUGACCUGUGAAAGAAAUUUUUUUGGCGGUAGCGUGUUGAUGUUUAGAGUGUUGUAGGAUAAAAAUGAAAUUUUAAAAUACAAUUAUUUUUUAAAUUAUUUGAAUAUAAAUAUGAUUGUUUUAUAAUUAAUAAAAAUUUUAAAUCUUAGCCAUUGGUUCAAAAUUUAAAUGGUCAUGAUUCAUAAGGAAUCUUAGACCAUCAAGAACCAUAAUAUACUUUCCCCAUACAAGAAGCUUCCUUGAUUUAUUCUAUUACAAAUCCUACCGAAAAAUUUACAAAAGCUCAUAAAAAAAUAAUAUCAAGGGAGUCAAGCAAAAGAACAAUAUUGGUAUUUUUGCAUUUCAAACCAUAUGCAAUUCAGAAAAAAAAAUAGUAAAAAAAUCAAGGGAGUCAUGCAAAGUACACGUACCUGCAACUGGGAGGUGGCUUUUAACAUGACAUGAUACAUAAUUAAGCCUUCCACCAUCCAAGAGACCAAAAUCUAUUAUUGUUCAAGGAGUUAGUUAAGAGAUUGUCUAGUCAGCAAGUAGUUAAGAUGGUAUGAAAGGUGUGACUUUAGAUAUUUUUCAGAUAACUAGUGCGUGAUAGAAAGUAGUAUAAAUAGUUAGCUCAAGUAUAUUUGUUCUUUAUAGUUCAUCAUUCUUAUGAAUCAUUCUUGAAUUCCCUUUCACAAACUCUCUUCCUCCUCUGUUCUCUUUUGACACGAAUCACCGAUUUUUCCUCAGUUACAAAAUCAAUGAUAAUUAAUUUAUAUAUAACUAUAUUUUAACUUUAGAAUUUCACUUUUUUUCUUUCCAAAUUAAUAAAAACCAGGAGUUACAUGAGAAUUAUUUAAAACACAAAGAAGUGUUGGACUAAUUAUGAUUAUUGUUUGGGUCUAGCUAAUGUCUUAAGUGCACUUAUUAAAGUGUUAAACAUGAAAUUUUUUUUAUUAAGAAUAAAAGUUUGAAAGAUUUCCAUUCUUUUAUAAUAUAUUUAUCAAAAGAAAUUAAAAAUUAUCUUAACGGCGUUGUUAGAAAAUUCUUAUAUUUAAUUAAAAGAAGUCCUCCUUUAAGAAGAAACAAUGCCUCGUGAGAAAUUAUUUGUCUCAAUUGAAAAAUUUGGUGAAGGGGCUAAUAUGAUUGAAUGACUAUAAUUCUGCGGUUACGAGAUCGCGACAAAGUUAAUAGAGCGACAAAAUUAAUAGAGGACUGAUUGUUUGAAAAAAAUGAUGAUUAAAGUCGAAUUAUUAUUUUCUAAUUAUAAAGGGAUAGAUAGUCCUUCCGUGAAAUAGACAGAGAUGUGGAGUUUCACUCUUAAUAUAUAUGAAUUGCCAAUUUAUUAAAAGACAUAGAUCCUAAAGCAAAAAUAAUUUCAGAAUCAUAUCAACCAAGUCCUUCCAUGAGUAACAAUGCUUUAUAUCAAGGGGCUGCAACUAGGCACCACAAAUGGAACUGGCCAUAGCCAGCAAAGAAAGAAGCCCUUGGAAUCAGGAAUCUCAUGUGGCGGAGUUGACAGAUGUACUGCUGGCUUUACUUUCUCAAGGUUUGGGAUUAUAAGAAGCUAGGUGAAGGAUCUAACUGCCUUUGGAGACAGGUCGGGUGUUGGUCCACUACUAUUUAUACGGUCCUCAACCGGAGUUGUCAUUAGGACUACAUAUUCAUAAUUCUGCUUCAUAUUCACAUCCCAGAGGUACAACAUAAGCAUGGUGAAUUAUGAGUAGAUGAAAAUCAUGUGCAGAUCAUAGUCUUUAAUCGUAGUGAAUUUGUAUUAGCCUCCUUCAAACUGAAGAGAUUGGUAAAUGAGAAAGUAAAAGUCUAAUCAACCUUGAAUUAAGAUAGUAAAAUUCAUCUAUGAUAAAAAUUACAAAUUCAAUGGUAAUUAACCCUUCACUUUUAUCACUUUAUCAACCUUUUCAAUUUAGAUUAUUCAAAUUUAGAGAAUUCACUCUGCUAUUGAUAGUUUUUUUAAUUUCACAUGUUAACUCAAGGGUUCUAAGUUAAACUAAAAUGAUUUACAAAUAUUAGAUGACUUCUAAUAGAGAGUACAAUAGUCCUAAGUAGUAAGCACAAUAUUUUAAAUAACUCUAAAAAAGAACUAAUCAUUGGUGCAUAUUUUUUAGAGUUUUGGAAAAAAUAUGAAGGAUCCAAAACUGCAUGGAACUCUCUACCAGAAUAAGAUUUUCCUAAAAACCAAUCUAUCUAUAGAGAAUUUAGAUUGAAGGAAAAUGGGGAUCUCAAAGGGUUCUCUAACAAGUUUAAAAUAGUACAUAAAUAAUAUCUCAAGCAACUUUAGGUAUGGCUGAAAGGACUCCUUAAUAAUUACAGAUCAAUUAUUAUCCUAGACUUUCUCUGUACUAAUUCGUUCUUAUAUCAAUCUAUAUCAAACAUGCCAUUGCUGAUUUAGACAUUUGAGGAAUGUGUAUUUCAGAGUAUGUUUUUAUAAUCCUCAAAAUUUUACACAAGAAAUCUUGUAUAAGAAUAUGAAGGAUCCAAAACUGCAUGGACCUCUCUACCAGAAUAAGAUUUUCCUAAAAACCAAUCUAUCUAUAGAGAAUUUAGAUUGAAGGAAAAUAGGGAUAUCAAAGGGUUCUCUAACAUGUUUAAAAUAGUACAUAAAUAAUAUCUCAAGCAACUUUAGGUAUGGCUGAAAGCACUCCUUAAUAAUUACAGAUCAAUUAUUAUCCUAGACUUUCUCUGUACUAAUUCGUUCUUAUAUUAAUCUAUAUCAAACAUGCCAUUGCUGAUUUAGACAUUUGGAGAAUGUGUAUUUCAGAGUAUGUUUUUAUAAUCCUCAAAAUUUUACACAAGAAAUCUUGUAUAAGAAUGUUAUUUUUUUUCAAUGUAAAAUUUCAAAGAAUGUAAAAACAUUGCACGAUAAAUAGGUCCUUUGGUGUUAUUAUAUUGUUCUGUACCACUGAACGUUUAAAAGCUUUACCAAACUAAGUCUAAGUGCAUUGCAAAAUCCAAUCGGAAACUUAAAUGAUACCAUAGGAAUUUAGAAGAGAGACUGAGAUUGAGAGAGAUAGAGACGGAGAGAUUGAGAUUAAAUUAAAUCUCUCUAUAUUAUAUUUGUUGUAAAGUAUAUAAAAGUAUCUCUUAAAAUCCUAUUUGAUUUAAGAUAAAUGUGGAGACUGAAACAAACAAAAUUACUUAAAUAUCUUGUUCAUUAAAAAAUAAAAAUUAUGAACAAUAUUAUAUAGGCCUUAGUAGAUAUUAAAUGAAGUAAUUUGUAUAUUGAUUUUAGGGAAUGACUUCAAUGGACCAACUAGAAUUUUAGAUCUUAAUGAUCUAUGUAAAAAAAAUAUAAAAUAAUCUUAUAAAAUAUCUAUACUAUCCUUUUCUCUAUCUUUUCUUCAAUUAAACAUCUUCCAUCAUAAUGCUUACUGCUACCACUAUAAAAAUAUCAACACCACCAUUAAUGGUAGCACCAACACUAUCAUUGUUCUCUCUUUUUUUGUGUUCUUCUUGUUAUGCAUUCAAACUUCGAACCAAAUCAUUGUCUCUCUUUUGUAUUUUUGAUCCAACACGCUCUUGGGAACUUGGACUCUUCUCCAUCCCGAAACUCUUCCUUAGAGACCCUAAAGCUGAGCGGCAGAAACUGAUGUCAUGGUUUCCUUCGAUAGUGCUGCGAUGCCAACACCGAAGAGGGCAAGAAGCAUGUGAGGUACUGCUGACAGGGGGUGAUAAUGAGCGGAGGAGAUCUGCGGCGGAGAUGCCAAGUUAGUGCUCCGGUGAGGCAGUGGAGCAGGGUAGUGGCGUGGUUCUUUGAAUGAAAUUCAAGGCAAGGAGAUGAACCCAACUUCUAAAUGAUGACCUGUGAAAGAAAUUUUUUUGGCGGUAGCGUGUUGAUGUUUAGAGUGUUGUAGGAUAAAAAUGAAAUUUUAAAAUACAAUUAUUUUUUAAAUUAUUUGAAUAUAAAUAUGAUUGUUUUAUAAUUAAUAAAAAUUUUAAAUCUUAGCCAUUGGUUCAAAAUUUAAAUGGUCAUGAUUCAUAAGGAAUCUUAGACCAUCAAGAACCAUAAUAUACUUUCCCCAUACAAGAAGCUUCCUUGAUUUAUUCUAUUACAAAUCCUACCGAAAAAUUUACAAAAGCUCAUAAAAAAAUAAUAUCAAGGGAGUCAAGCAAAAGAACAAUAUUGGUAUUUUUGCAUUUCAAACCAUAUGCAAUUCAGAAAAAAAAAUAGUAAAAAAAUCAAGGGAGUCAUGCAAAGUACACGUACCUGCAACUGGGAGGUGGCUUUUAACAUGACAUGAUACAUAAUUAAGCCUUCCACCAUCCAAGAGACCAAAAUCUAUCUCAGAACCAAACCAUCACCAUGGCCAGAAUGCUGGCGCGGUGGCUCUGACUAACUCCAGUAGCGGCAAUGGCAAUUGUAGUGGCGGCAACGACAACAUCAACAUACAAGGUGAGGAGGCAGAGCAGGAGCAAUAUAUAGCAGUGGCAGCGAUAGCUCGGCGACGUCCUUUGAAAUCAACGGUUAUGGCAGCAGUGGCAGCACCCACUGCCGUCGCCCUUGUGACCUCCACUCCUUUUCUCUCUCGAUUGUCUCUCUCUCGUCUUUUUCCAUCUCCCCUGAUUCGAUUUUUUUCUCUAUCUCUCUCUAUCUAACUCUCUUUCUUUUUUUCUCUCUCUCUCUCUCCAUUAUCAUUUCAAUGGCGGCGACGGAAAACAACCGGCGAUAGAGGCAGUGGCAUCCCCCCGCUUCAUUCUCUUCUGGUGACUCCAGGAUUUGGUAAACAGCGUGUGUGAGAGGUUAAACUUGUAAUUUAAAAAUUUGAAUAGGAGUAAAUUUAAAAAUAAAUUUAGUAAAGUUUUAUUCUCCGUCUUCAAAAAUUUUAGUCUUUUGUGUUCUUACUUUCUAAAGAAAAUAAAAUCGGCUGAGAUUAUGAACAAUGAACUUAAAUCUUAGCGCACCAAAGACAAAAAAAAAUUUGCACAGAAAUUAGGCAACAAAAAAUCUUAAUACUUACUUUUUCAAAUUUUAACCAUCAAAUCCCCUUCCAAUAUUACUGUUGUUGCUGCUUCUUUCCAAAUCUCCUCACUCACAUUGUUGUGACGUCAACUAGCAUCCUUACCGGCGUGUCUCUCUCCAUCGCUGGAUGCCACCAUCGCCGCUGAGCAUCUCAAGGUUGUCCCUGCGUCAACAACCAGCUCCCAAUCGGCGCUUCUCUCCCCCCUUUGCGCAUCAUUGUCGCCGCCUAGCCUCUCAGUGCCAGACUCCAUCAGCAAUCGGCCCCCACCGUGCGUGUCUCUCUCAUGCUCUUGAUACCGUCGUUGAUCCGCCAACCAUUCCCCCACACCGGCGCCGCAUCAACCAUCCCCCCACGCAAGCCUGCACCGUUGGCGCACUGAGGUUUUUCUAGGUAUCUCUCAACCAUGUACAACAUCUUUUAUAUAUAUAUAUAUGAAUUAUUUGACCCAAUUAGAAUAACCAUCCAUGUAGUACUUAAAAUAACCAUCCUCUUAUGUAGUGAAAUGAACAUCCAGCAUUUUUUAAUUGUAUAUACUUAAACCGAAAAACAACAUAAUCAUACACUAACCUGGUUAGCAUGACCACACUUCUUCUUGCGGUAGUUAACUGCCCUUGGGUGAAGGCGAGCAUAGCACCUAAAAUAGUAAAAUAAAAUGUUAAGUACGAUUUUGGUUGUGACCUCCACUCCUUUUCUCUCUCGAUUGUCUCUCUCUCGUCUUUUUCCAUCUCCCCUGAUUCGAUUUUUUUCUCUAUCUCUCUCUAUCUAACUCUCUUUCUUUUUUUCUCUCUCUCUCUCUCCAUUAUCAUUUCAAUGGCGGCGACGGAAAACAACCGGCGAUAGAGGCAGUGGCAUCCCCCCGCUUCAUUCUCUUCUGGUGACUCCAGGAUUUGGUAAACAGCGUGUGUGAGAGGUUAAACUUGUAAUUUAAAAAUUUGAAUAGGAGUAAAUUUAAAAAUAAAUUUAGUAAAGUUUUAUUCUCCGUCUUCAAAAAUUUUAGUCUUUUGUGUUCUUACUUUCUAAAGAAAAUAAAAUCGGCUGAGAUUAUGAACAAUGAACUUAAAUCUUAGCGCACCAAAGACAAAAAAAAAUUUGCACAGAAAUUAGGCAACAAAAAAUCUUAAUACUUACUUUUUCAAAUUUUAACCAUCAAAUCCCCUUCCAAUAUUACUGUUGUUGCUGCUUCUUUCCAAAUCUCCUCACUCACAUUGUUGUGACGUCAACUAGCAUCCUUACCGGCGUGUCUCUCUCCAUCGCUGGAUGCCACCAUCGCCGCUGAGCAUCUCAAGGUUGUCCCUGCGUCAACAACCAGCUCCCAAUCGGCGCUUCUCUCCCCCCUUUGCGCAUCAUUGUCGCCGCCUAGCCUCUCAGUGCCAGACUCCAUCAGCAAUCGGCCCCCACCGUGCGUGUCUCUCUCAUGCUCUUGAUACCGUCGUUGAUCCGCCAACCAUUCCCCCACACCGGCGCCGCAUCAACCAUCCCCCCACGCAAGCCUGCACCGUUGGCGCACUGAGGUUUUUCUAGGUAUCUCUCAACCAUGUAUACAACAUCUUUUAUAUAUAUAUAUGAAUUAUUUGACCCAAUUAGAAUAACCAUCCAUGUAGUACUUAAAAUAACCAUCCUCUUAUGUAGUGAAAUGAACAUCCAGCAUUUUUUAAUUGUAUAUACUUAAACCGAAAAACAACAUAAUCAUACACUAACCUGGUUAGCAUGACCACACUUCUUCUUGCGGUAGUUAACUGCCCUUGGGUGAAGGCGAGCAUAGCACCUAAAAUAGUAAAAUAAAAUGUUAAGUACGAUUUUGGUCUCUACGGUAUAGUUUGAAAAUUUUUUUGUGUCCAACUUUUUUUACAUACAAAAUCGUUCUUAAAUUUCAACGUAGUUUUAAAAUCGUCUUUCGGACCAAAAUACCUUUCUCUUCUUUUUCUUCUUCUUCAUCAAAAUAUCUCUUCUUCUUCUUCAUCACAAUCAUUUAUGAGCUUCCCGGUAACUUUUCUCAAUGAAAGAGUUGCUCCUUUAAGUUCAUUCAACAAUGUCUUAUGCAAAAUCUUAUCACCUUUGAUCAAACCAGUUACACUAACACCAUCAGGAUCUUGAAGAAAAGGAUUAUGAAGGGGAUUCAACUCUUCCAAAUUAAACCUAAGCAUCUUAUCAUUCGUCAAAAAGUCACCAUUUUUAUCAAACCAAUCACCUCAACCUUCCCUCGAAGGCGAAUUUUUUCUUUCCAAUUUCAAAAGAAGAGCAUCUUCCACACGUUUUACCUCAACAAAUGUCCUCCGAACACAUUCAUCAAUUGGAAUAUCACCAGAGCCAAACGUGGUCUUGCUCCGAUCUUCAUUACCUAUUACUGGAGACCCAAAAAAAAUUCCAACUUGGCAAGACCUAUCUUUCCAAUCCUACGGAGAACUCAUGGUGAAUGCCUUUUUAAUGACGCCAUUGACAUAGUAGAAAAAGUAGCCGGAAACCUUAAGUGGGAUGAAGGAGGGUUCUUCGUCGGCGUCAGCAGUGCCGUCGUCAUCGGAUGUGUCAUCGAAAGGGGAUUGCUCCUCGACGAUGUCAAGGGUGUCGAUGGCGUCCUCACUAGAAGAUGCAACAUCGAUGAUGGUGUCGUAGUUGACCAAAUGGUGGAGGGCACGGAUUCUUCAGAGAAAACAACGAUGAUGGUGGUGACGGUGAUGAUGGUGGCAGUGGUGGCAGGGGUUGUUGGAUUGGGAUAUGUGGUGAAAAGAAAAGAGGAAGAGGAAAUGACGACACAUAGCAACAACCCGUAGCGGGGGCUCCGCAUUGAUUGGAGCCAGGAUCGGAGAUUUUGAAACAGUUUUUUUUGGUGAUCAGGGAAAAAGUUUCUAUUUUGUAUGUAGUAGUUUUGCUUUUUUAUUUUGUUUAACAAUAUUUAUUACUAUUCUUGAACUUGAAUACUGUGUUGUUGAAUAUUGUGUAUUGUUAUUGUUGUUGGUUCUCCAUUAAUGGCUUAUUUUUUGUUUCUUUUUCUUCAGUUAAUGGUUUUUCUGUUCUUUUUUUAUUUUAUAUUUUUUAUUAGGAUUAAUUUGGUCCAAAAUUUAUAAUUUAAGUAAAAAGGACUAUUUUAAAAUCUAGCUGAAUUUUAAGGAUAAUUUUGCAUGCAAAAAAAGUUAGAGACAAAAAAAAUUUUGAUUUAUACUUUCGAGACCAAAAUUAUACUUAACCUUAAAAUAAAUUAGACACUUGAAACAAACACUUCAAGAAAAUGUAAAAUAACAAAUUUUUCUCCGAGUGUCACAAACUUAAAGUAUUAAACUCCACUCAACAAAUAGAAUAAAGGAUCUCAGAUAAUAGCAUGCAUGAACUAAAAAAUCAGAUCCUAUAUUCUAAGUUCUAAAAUAAUGUACCAACCUUAAAAAUUAACGGGUAAUAAACUAAGGCCAAUUGACAAAGUAAGAGAUGGACAUAAAUCUAGGGAACAAAUAUAACCCCUAGAGCAUUAGAAAAAAAUCUAAAGGGGCUAAGUUAUCGUCCUAAGGCAGAGUAAAAUUGAAAAUGCAAUUGAAAAUGAAAAAAUAAUUACUUGCAACAAAUCAUCUUGGCUUGAUUGUAUUUGUGGGCUAAAGCCAUGAGAGAAGGCUCAAUGACGCCGCCGCAAAGCCUGAGGACAAGCCGACAAGGUGAAGUGUUGAUUCCUUCUAGAUGUUGUACUCAGCCAAGGUGCGUCCAUUUUCCAGCUGCUUCCUGGCAAGGAUCAACCGCCACUGAUCUGGUGAAAUCCUUGGUAUGUAUGUGAAAACAUGCGAUUAAAUUUUAAACAUUACUGAUAUGACUUUGGAUGGAAUUCUUUUCAGGCUUUAACCACCAUGCUCAGACACCAUUUCUGGUUGUGCUAUUGUUUCAGAUGAGAGUUUACAGACAUAUAAAUGGUUGUUGGAGACCUUCCUGGAGACAAUGGAGAAUAAGCAUCUUAAAGUAGUUGUGACUAAUGGUGAUAUGGCAAUGAAGGGAGCUAUUCCAACAAAGUUUCCAUAUGAAAGUUGAAACACAUAGAUUUUAUUCAUGGCACCUUUAACAAAAGGCAUUUGAGAACGUAAAAAAAUUUAAGUUUUUGGUUGAUUUCAAGACUUUAAUUUACAAAACUAUUCUCCAAAGGAAUUUGAGAGCUUUGGUUAGAGAUGGUUGAAAAGCAUAGUUUAGGAGAGAACAGUUGGAUAAAAAAAAUCUCUAAGUGUAGGAGGUCGUGGGCUCAUGUAUAUCUACAGAAUAAAUAUUUUGGAUACCUCCAAACCACUUCUCAAUGUGAGGGGAUCAAUUCAAUGAUAAAGGCGUACAUUAAAAGGAAGAACACUAUCAUUGAGUUUGUCAGCAAUGCUAAUUUUGUUCUAUGUGAUUAUAUAAACAAUGAACUUGUAGCCAACUUCAAGACAAUGCAUACAGAGCCUUAAAAUGCUCUUUUAAGAACUUUGUUGCCAACACUUACACCUUAAGAUUGUUUAAUAAAGUAAGAUAUGAGAUUAAGAAGGAGGAAGCGCUAACUAUUAUUGUGUUGAUUAAUGAAGAUGGUAUAAUUAACUUAAGAACAAAUGCAUUUUGUAAAGUGUUGAAGAAAUGUUUUACUGCCACUGUCAUUUAUUUGAAAUCAGAGGGAUUCCUUACAGGCAUGUGUUUACUGCAAUGAGGAACCAAUACAUGGAAAAAUUUUCGAAAGGGAUGAUUUGUAAGCAAUGGAGGAAAAUGGCUAAAGUCCUUUAAGAUUCGUGUUAGUACCUUACCCACAGAUUGUAGUAUGUUGAUGGAUUUGGGCACUCAACAUAGUAACCAUUAUUUAGGCACUCAACAAUCUAUUAGCCAUUAGAAAAUAAAAAUUCAAGAUCAAAUUUUAUAGCCAAAGGUAGUAUGUUCUUUUGUUUGACAUACAUGCCUUGUGUAUUAUUUCCAUGAUUUUUGUUCAAAUUAAGUAUAUGUUCAAUAUUGUUCAAUAUUUUUUUAAUUUUCUUAAAACAGAAAUAGAUUGAGAAGGCGCCAUCCGCUAACAAUAUUGCCUCCUCUUCAAAGUAACUUCCAACUCAGCAACAACUUGCAGUGCAUGUGCGGUUAUUUUUCACUCAUUAGGGUUAGUGUUGUAAAAUUGUCAGCAAAUAUAUUCACAUUUCAUUUAUGUGAUGUGAUGUUUAUUAAAUUCACUUUGGGCAAGAUAAUAUGAGGCAUAACAUUUUUACCCAUCUGAGGUGGUCACCAAAUGCCAUUGAUGCUUAGAUUUUCUAUCUUCUAUUCAAUGCAACAACAUAUUCCAUUACUUCAUAUCCAGGCAAUGCAAGUAUCAAUGCACAUGCACCCUCUAGUCCAACAGGUGAGAAUAUGAUUUGAUUAGCGUGAUAGAGACGGCGAUAGGCUAGACUAUCCCCUAUCCGGAUAGAUAUGUCCCUAUGAGCGACUACGCCGAUCUUUAUAUGUUUUGGCCACGUCCGUUUCCGUUCCGAAGUGGAAGGUUUGGAUCUUUCAAUCUUAUGUCGUGAGGGAUGUGACCUAUGUUAGGUCCAUAAAAUACCACCGCUUUUGGUGUUCUAUGAUUCACCUCCGAAUAAUGAGUAGGUAGUUCGAUCCUUUUUAUUCUUCUCUUCAUAGUAAACUUAUGGGGGGUGCGGACCAAUAGGUCGAAUUACUAUAUAAAGAAGAGUUGUAAACUAUCUUCCUUCUUGUUCGAGUAGGAAGAUAUCGCUUUUUCUCGUUUCUUCUCUUCGAUAAGAAUAGGCAUUUGAAAUGAUAAAAAUUCCUCUUCAUUCUGUUGUGCUCAGCGAAAGAACUUCAUAAGCAUACUUUUUCGGAUCCAAACUUCUUUGUUCUUUCUAAGUAUUCUUCUUGCAUAGAAUAAUGCAACUGCUGUUGCAAAAACCGGGAUUUUAGUAGUUUGAACAACUUGUAAAUAAAUUAUGAAAGAACCAAGUUUGAAUAAUUGAUGUUGAAUGAAUGCGGAAUAAUGUGUCAUUUCAGUUCGUUAGUGGAGUUCAUGCUAGACCCAAGAACAAUAGCAGGAGUUUACAUAAUUAAAACUAUAAUUCUAGUAAUUUAUAAGUAAUGAAAGUUAUAUGUAUAUUUUAAUUUGAGUAAUUGAUAUUUUUAAAUUAAAAAAAUAGAGUUUAGUUAAUAAUAUUAUUAUUAAGCUCAAUAUCUGCUGAUAUGAGUAAAUAUCGGUAACUCUUCGGUGAACUUAGCUUUGCUAAUGUUUCAUCAAAUAUCUUCCAUUCUCAAGUUACUAAUGUCAUUUAUAUUAGUAACUCAUAUAUAUUUAACCCUAUAUAUAUUAUUAUUUAUGUUUUAAUAUAUUCAGUUUUCAUAAAUAUCUGUUUGAGAUAUUUAUAACUUGAAUCGCCGACUCGGUUACACUGAAACUUGACACCUCGCCAUAUUCAUUAAUGAUAAAGCAAGCAAGUAAAGUAAUCUUAAAAGUUUUAGAGAACGCAGACUUAAUUAAAGAACUUUAUAAUUCUUUUCCAUAAGACACUUAGGGAAGGAUGACGGAAUAAUGCGAAGAUAAUUUAUAUUGUGGAAUGAUAAGAAAGAAAAGAAAGAAAGAACAAAAAGAAAAUGAAAUAAGCAGAGAUACGGUGGUGAGUCUACCAAGAUUUGCUUUCUAGAGAUACAUCGGCCAAUCCAGGGGAUGGUCGCACCUGUAAGACAGAAGUUGCUUAUAGAGGUUAUCAAUACAUAUAUUAGCUAGAGAGAGCCUCACCUGUAAGACCGAGGUUGCUUACAUAGGUUAUGUUUGCAUCAAGGUUCUGAGAACCGAACCGGUCAUCGAACUGCUUUAGUUAUUGGUUCACUGGUUUACAGGUCCAACCGCACUUUAACCAGAAAAACUGUUUUAGAAUAAAAAUAUAAAAUAAUAAAUAAAUUAUAAAUAAAUAUUUUAAAAUAUAAUUAUAAUUUAAUAUAAAUCUUAAACUAUCUUCCAAAAUUAAUACACUACUUGAAAUGUCAUCGACCAAAGCCAUACGAUCUUAUCAAAGUAUACAAUAAAACUAAAAUUAAACAUAGAAAUACAAGUCAUCAUCUAGAUUUUCAAUGAUACAGAAAAUUACAAUUCUGAUUCCAAUAAAUCGGAAUAGAAAUUGAAACUAUAUAUUGAAAGAAUGAGCAUUGGCUACUCUUGUAGCUUCUUCAAUCUCAACUUGGCCAGCAUCAGAUCUUUCUAAGAGCAUAUUUUCUCUAAUUGUUAUCGCAAACUUAGCCAGUUCUUGGCUAACUAGUCCUAUUUUCCAUUUUGUCAGAUAAAAUUUAAGAGAAUUUCGAGACGAACACGUGGCCGCUAACGGCUCGUCAAUCGGAGCUCCGGAUUGAAAGUUAUAGACGAUUGAAAAUUGGAAGGAAGGUUAGGUCUUCUAAACGUGAUUCUCUCUUCGAAGCAUUCGCAGGAAUGAAAUGAGGAGAAAAGAGCUCGUUGCUUGUUUUAUAGGGUGGGUCUUGGACUUGGUUCGACCGGUUCAGCCCGUUCGCCUGAUUUUGGCAAAAAAAUAUUUAAAACUAGUGUCAAAAUUCGUAUUUUUAAUAUUUCUACUCCUCUAGAUUAUAAAAAUUUAAUUUCCUAAUUUAUUUGAAUAAUAAUUAAUUUAUUAACUAAUUAUUUGUUAAUUUCGCAGGGUUUACAUGAAGCUCCUCCAGGGUUAUCUUGGAGGCCGUGUCCAUCACGUCGAAUGUAACCCAAAUAUAACAGUCUACAAGAGCCCUCACAACAGGACGCUGCGUCAUACCUACAGUAGGGGCACCACUUAAGUUAAACCUAGGAGGUCGUAAAAUUGGAGGAAACAGAAACUAAAACUACGUUCUGCUGCGUCCUUAUUCUACACUAAUCCACGGUCAAUACGAAGCCUACACUUAAGAAUCAGACACCUAGAGGUAACCGCCCUAAGAGCUAGCUAACAAUGAUGAGCCCAACCCAAGCAGGAACAACCAGAAAUAAUGCAUGGUAUGCGUAGUAUUGACAGUAACAACAGAGACACCAUAAUGAAAAGAUGAAAGCAGAUAAGACUUACUAGUAGAUUGAAGAAGGAAGGAGGGUGAAUCUCGGAUGAAUGCGGUAGAAUUCGUAGCAGGUGAGUGAGUGAUGGAAUCAAAAACAAAAAAGAAUGAGGUGAGGAAGAUGUGAAAGAAUGAGGAAUGAACGGGUUACAAGAUGUCGAAAGCAGGCGUGAAAAGUUAGGAGUAAAAUGGGCCUUUCCCUUGACUUUCAAAUCAGUCAUAAUGAGCAUUAAAUGCUCAACAUGGAAACCAAACUGACAUCCCAAGUAACAGACGGAGACAACUCGCGCGUUGGGGACACGAACUCCAUCCACUGUCUCUCUGGCCCAGGAAAACUCGAUCGAGGCAGAUGCAAGUGAAUCAAACGCGCCAACCACGAGCUCUUAUCCUCACGGUUGGCACGUUGGGGGCACUGUUCCGGCCCAGCUCACUAAUAAUCUGGGUCCGAUUCACCGACCUGACGGGUCCACUGACCUGAGCCAGGAGGCAACCCGCGUGUCACCUCCCAUUCAACAAGAAACCUAGAUAGCUAGCAGAAGCUUCCAGAAAGGUGGGCUUGAUCACAAGGGUCCCACCCAGGUACAGAUUAUAAAUGGGGAGGAACCUACCCCUCUCCAGAGGUACGUCACUUUUCUAACCUUAAUUGGUCGCCUAUUCGUACGGACUUUGACUUUAGUAUCGGAGUAUCCUUGCAGGUGGCCCUACCUGCCGACACGCCGAUGCAUAGGCUGAAUGCAUUGCUCUAGCAGCUCACGUCCAGGUUCAGAUCCUCUUAUCCCCUUGCUCCGUCAUUCACCUACCCGAUCCACCAAACACCUGAGCAACCGAACAUGUUCUUUAUUUGUAUUUGUUGAUUAUGCUUAGCAGUAUCACAAAGAUAGGCACAAUGUCAAAGAACAUGAGGAAGCUAAGGUAGGCACAAUGUCAAAAACACAUAUGAGGAUACUCGCAUUCAUCCCACGCAGAAAUAACCAUUCAUUUUUUUCUUAUUACAAAUAUCAUAUAGAUAAAUAUAAAGAUUUAUCAAAUAUUUUUGUUAUGAUGGUGAUACUUUAAUUCAUGGUCUCUUGACAAGUGUUUCUUGAAAGAAUUUUGUUAUGGGAACUAAAUCAAGGGUUGUAAAGAUAAUCCAAUGCUUUUUUUUUUAGCUUCAAGAAUAUUAGGCGUUAAGACUUAAGCAAUUCUGCUAGAUAGACAAUAGAGAAUUUGAACAAUGUGAAUAAUGAGUUAGAAAUUUGGCUCAAUAUAAGUAAAAAAUAAAAAAUACUCCCUAAAUUAUCCAAAUAAAAAAAAUCUACUCAGUUAUUUAAAAAAUUUAACUAUGUCAAACCCUAAUUUACCAAACCAAUUCACCCAAUCAGCUUCUUCUCCCAAAAUCCUCUACCACCCUCACCUUCAUCAAUCAUCCCACUUCGCCGGCGUCAAUUGCACCCUCAUUGGCCAUCAUCCACGUCCGCAGGGGUCAGCACGUUGUUGCUGCUCAGCAAGUAUCCCCCUCCCCGGCGCGUCUCUCUCUCCCUCAUUAGUAGCCAACAUCGCCGACAGGAUCUUCCUCCUCGUCGCGUGUCCGCCGUGCCCUGUGCGUCUCUCUCUCCCUCGCCGAAAGCCAACCUCGGCAUCGGUUUCAACCAUCGCGGGAAAGAAGGUCGGCUCCGUAUACUCCCCCUUGACGCGCUGCUUGGCUCACCAUCCACCAUCACCGCGCGACGCUCACCUACUCAUCGGAAAUACUUGUUUUUGGACUCCUUCUUGCAUUUGUCGCUGGUUGGCACGGUAGACACGAUCACCGAUGUCGCACUCUAUCCAUUUGCUACUUCAAUAGGUUAGUUGAUGACCAGGAUUUUAAUUUUCAAAAGGGUGUUCAUGAAAUGUAUUUAGUUGAGUGAAUGAAUUUUGCCUCUAUCUCUUGUACACAAAACAACCAUCCACGUAAUACUUAAAAUAACCAUCAAACUUCCUAGAGAACUGAACAUCCCGCAUUCGUUAACUGUUUAUAUUUAAACCGAAUCCAAUAAAAUAACUAUCCAAUUAUUCAUUAAAACAACUAUCUAUACCAACAACAAUCAUCUGAUUUUGUAUGAAGCUAAACAUCCGCAUCCAACAUAAAACUUUAAUUCAUUACCUGCUUGGAUUGUUGUCCCAGUAUAGCGCACUUGCCAUCUGGAAGUAUAGAAUCAUCAAUGAUUAAUGAGGAUGAUGCAGUAGAAAUUUCUUCACCCAUAGUGAGCUCCAUCCAUGGUUAUGUGAGGGGAAUGCAGAGGUUACUAUUUACGGUGAGACUACGAUGGUGUCGGUGAAUGGCUAUGGCGGUGACGGCAUAGCCGACAGCGGGUGCAGCGGAAAGGGGGAGGCACGGGGCGGCUGUGGAGUGAUCAACCACGGUUACGGAGGAACAACGGCACAAUUUGAGGUUUCAGUGGUGUCGGUGGGAGCUCGCUGCAGCGUCGACACGAUCGGCGGGGGGAGGGAGUUGCAACAGCGCAGCUGAGGCUGCGACGAUGAGAGAAAAACUGGAGAUUGGAUGGUUAUGAUGAGAUUAGAAGUAAUUGUAUGUAAUGUGAAUAGGUUUAAUUACUAAUCCUUUUCUCAUAUUUAAAAAUUACUUGUAAUUUAUUUAGUAAGUACACGUGUUGAUUAUAAUUUAAUUUCUAAAAUUUAUGGUCAGCUCUUUGACCCACCACUUGAAAUCUAAAAUUAUAAUAAUACUCUUAGUAGAUAUUAUUAUAAUUCUUCUUAGAACUCUUAGUGAUCUUUAUUUAUCCUUUUUUGGUGUUCUUUCUUAGGAAAAGAAAAAAACUAGUAACUAGAUAGACAUAAAUUAGUAAUUAAGACUACUAAUAUAAUAACACCUCUUAAAUGUAAACCUAAUUGUGUGCUGUUUCAUGCGUAGAAUUGUAGAAGACUGUUAGAAAGGUCUAAACAUACGCUAAAAAAUCUCAACAUUCAAGUUAAGGAGUGAUAUCAUAUGAGGAAUUUUCUUAGGAUUUAGAACAAAGAUAUUUUAUAUCUAUAAAACAAAUACACUUUUGUGAUUAUUUUUUUAUGUCUCUAAUUUAUCUCCAACUAGUAUUAAAUCUAUGCGGUGCACAAUUUUUAUUCUAGUUUAACAUGGUAAAUUGAAUAUGAUAUAAAAUAUAAAUUUAACAUAGUAAAUUAAUAUGAUAAAUUAUCAAUACGUAAAGAUACUAAAAUUUAAAAUUUUAAAUUUGAAAUAAGAUAAGAUAACGAAAUUUUGAAAAUAAAAAAAAGAUGAGAUAAAGAUUUAAAGGCAAAAGAUAAACAAGAAAAUUAAACAAAAAAAGAUAACUAAUGAGACACCAAACUUAAAAUUUAAAACAAGAUAGAAACAAAGAUACAAAAGUUUUCAAAAAUUUGAAAUUAUAUUUUGUUUCUUUUCUUUUUUUUUCAAACAUAUAUAUAUUUAAAUAACUUGUGCUUUUUUAUUUUAUUUUUAUAUCUAAUUCUACUCAUCUAUAUAUCACAUCAUAAUAAUUAAACUUAAAAGUUUAGAAAUACGAUGAGGGAGGUAUAUUGAGUCGCUAAUAAUAAUAACGGUCUUAUAUAUCUUUUUAUGGUAUGAUCAUCUUUUAUUUCUAGACUUAUGUUUCUAUCUAAAUAAAGAUUGCAUGAAUCUUUUUUUAAGAUAUAUCUUUUGUAAUAAUUUUUAUUGCACAACAAUUUAAAAUAGUAAUAAUAAGAUUCUGUCAUUCUUUUACUCUUUUGUCUGUUUCUUUAAAAUAACUUUGAGAGUGUUUGGUUAGAGGUUAAAGCAGGGUGAAGAUUUAAGAGAGUAAUUUUGUUUUGUAAAAUUAAAAAAUAAGUCACCCUAAAAAUUAAGAUGAAAAAAAAAUGCCAGCCACUUACAAAGUAUAUAUACAAGAAAAUAAAUAUAAUAUAAGUAGUACUCUUUUGAAUAAAAUUGAAUUUGUUUAAAAAAAUAAAUAUCAAAGUGACAAUAUCUAAAUUUUAAUAAAUUAUAUCGAUUUUAUAUUUUAAAUUAAUAUAAAUUUUACUGAAAAAAUAUAUAGUUUAUUAAAUAUACUAUCUCGUUGUCAUGACAAAUAAAUUAGAUAUUAUUAUGCAUAUUUAGUUGCGAACGCCAAAAAUAAUAAAAAAUAUAAACAUUUUUAAGAAUGCAUAUAUAAGUAAAUAAUUAAUUUAUUUAUUUAUUUAAAAAUUCUCGAGUUUGAGGUAGGGUAUGAGAAAAAUAAUAUGUCUCUCUAAGAUCACGUAGGUAAAUGAAUCUUUGAGAAAAUAUAAUCGUAUUCAUAACUCCUUCUCCUUAUGUAUUUUUAAAAUUUUGAAUGAUAUAUUCUUAAUAGAUAAAAUUAGAUUCAGUCAAGAAGUUCAUGUGGAUUUAACCUUUUUGAAAUAAAAGAUAAAUCCAAAAAAGAUACAUCCUAUAUUGUAAUCUUAUCCAUAGAAUAAUAAUCUAUAACGAAAAAGGAGAAACUACUGCUUCAGAUAAAAUCAAAAUUGAAAACUACCUUAGCCUUUGACCACUCUUUCUUGUACCUCACCCUAUAAAUAUGGCAAUCAAAUCCCUUCUUCUUCUUCUCAUAGUUUCUGAUUUUUUUCCGUUUUCCAUCCAAGUCUCCACACAAAUUACCAAACCCUUUUUAAUUUUUCAUAAGAUACAUUCUAUUUGCUUGAAUUGAAUGCGUCAAUUAAGGUGCAUCCACUCCUUAAUAGCGGUGUUAUUUUUUACUGUGAUACUCAUAAUUAGCAAUAAUGGCGUUGACGCUUUUCACAAAGUACACCCUCAUCUUCAAUCUGUUUCAAGAAUUUCUGUGAGCGACAAACACAGAACUGGAUAUCAUUUUUCAACCUCUUAGGAAUUGGAUUAACGGUUUGUAACCGUUUUUUCCUUCAUGUUCAUAUAUGCUUCUUUUGGUUGGUUGUUCAAUGAUAAAAAGCAAAGAACAAUGUGUAUGAUUUUAAAAUAUUGUUAGUGUUGUAAGGACCUUGUAGAAUUAUAUAAUAAAGAAUGGGAAAAAAAAUAAAAAAUAUUAAAAUAAGCAUCCUACUAGUUACGUUAAGAUUUAUCCAAUGUAUCCAUGCUGAGAACUUUAAUCAAAGUAAGAAGGGAUAAAACUGGGAUUUAAACUCUGGUAGAAUAAAAUGUCAAAGAUGUAAAUUUGGGAGAAUGAAUUUUUUUAAAUUUUUUUUAAUUAUUUAGUAAAGUAUAAUCUUUUAUCUUAUAUUUCUUUACGUAGGUUCAAAAGAAAAUAUGUAAAAAAAUAUUAGAUAAUAAAAAAUUAUAUUUAAAUAAAUAAUUAAAAAAAUUUAUACUAUUAUAAAUGAUCCUCUCAAAUUUAUUUGGAAAGAAGUUAAUAAUCUGAAAAUUUUUUAACUUUGUCCUUUUUUAUGUUUUUGUCAGUUGUUUUUCUCAAGUCUUGAAUAUGUUUACUAGUGUGUGGAAUAUGUUUUUCUCCCAUAUAAUAAUGGUCUUUGAUACAAUUAGUUGCUAGUAAAGUUACUUGACUAAUAGUUUUUUUAUUUUAUAUUUUAUAAUAUGAAUGCUUAUUAGCUAUAGAAUUUAAUUUUACAUGUGCAUCAAAAUUAAAAUCUCAGUUAUAUAUAGAAGACAUACAAUAGUACAAUAUACAUAAGCCCAAGCUUAUGAAGCUGAAAAUUUAUAUAUGCACUCAGAACUCUUGUUUUGUGCAUUGUCUCUAAAAUUAUCUUGAAUCUUGGGUCUCCAUUCAUCGUUGGUUAUUGAUACUGGCUAAUUAAACUUCUUUGCUUUUCUUAAUUCUUUUAUAUGGUCCCGCAAUUGGUUAAUGGACGCUACAAUCAAAUUAUGCAGAUCCAAAUAGUUAGUAUUUGUUUUUCCUCUUUAAUUUCUUUCUAAUUUUUCUUAAUGAUUAUUUUUCUGACCACCUUAACCAAUAUAUAGCAAUAAUUUUAUUUUAAUUUUUUAUUCCUUAAAAAAAAAUUUUCAACAUAAAACUGUUAAUAGUGUAAUAUGGUAUUCAAUUAAUUAUAUAAAUUAUAAUACAUGUUGAAAUAAAAAAUCUAUGUGAAAAUAUGUUAAUUAUACUCUUAUUUAUAAUACAUGUUAAUAAUUUUGAAGAAUGCAUGUUAGAAAUAUAAAAUUACAAUAAAAAUAAGUUAAAUUAGAUAUAUUUAUACAUAAAUAUAUAAUAAUUAAUUUGGUGACUUUUAAUUUUUGAUGUGUGAAUAUCAUUUUGAAUAGUUUAAUGAACACAAAUGAAUUAAUACAGGACCUAUGCACUACAAUGGAUACUACCAUCUGUUUUAUCAAAACAACCCUAAAGGUUCAGUGUGGGGUAACAUUGUAUGGGCUCACUCAGUCUCAAAAGAUCUCAUCAAAUGGAAAGUGCUAAGAAUUAUAUUAUAUGGCAUGACAUUUUAAAGUGCUAAGAAUUAUAUUAUAUGGCAUGACACACCAGGCAGAUGUAGAAGUUACCUUCUCAUUUUCAAGCUUGAACGAGGCUGAAGCAUUUGAUCCAAGUUGGGUCAACGCAGAGGAUUUGUGUGGCAAAAAGGGUUCAAAUAUUCAAGGUGGGGUUGGACCGUUUGGUAUUCUAACAUUGGCUUCAAAAAAUUUGGAGGAGUAUACUCCUGUCUUCUUUAGAAUUUUUAAAGCUUCGAACAAGCGUGUAGUGCUCUUAUGCUCCGAUGCAAGAAGGUUUGUAUUUGACGAAUAAUUCAAAUGGAUUUUAGAAUGUUACCUUCUUUUCGUGUCUUCUAAAUGAUUAACUUACUUCAAUUUCUUGUUUUUCAAUAGUUCUUCUUUGAAGAGUGAGUUGUACAAGCCAUCAUUUGCUGGAUUUGUAGAUGUGGAUUUGUCUACUACUAAGAAGCUUUCUCUUAGGAGUUUGGUAUGUACAAAUGCAACAUAUUCUUAUUAUUGGUGUUAACAUUUAUGUGAUAUAAGAAUUACUAUAUUAAUAUUGGCUAACAUUCUAUGCUAUUUUCAAUUAAAUGACAGAUUGAUCAUUCUGUAGUGGAGAGUUUUGAAGUAGGAGAGGAAAAACAAAUAUUUUAUCUAGGGUUUAUCUUGAGUUAGCUGUGGCAGAUCAAGCUCACUUAUUUGUGUUUAACAAUAGAAUCAUACUAAUCGUUGUAAAAAAUCUUAGAUCAUAGAACAUGAAAUCUGCUGUUAUAAAUUGACAUGCCAAAAGAUUAUUUAGUUUAUCUUAAAGCUUGAAAAAUGUACCUUUAUCUAUUUUUAAUUGAUUUUUUUGUUAUCUUUUUAUAUUAUUUUCAUAAAUUUUAGAAGAUUAAUAUUUUUUUUCAACGAUCUAAUACACUAAUUUACGCACAAAUUACUGAGUAGUAUGCACAUAAUAUAUAUGCAUAGUAACAGAAUCAGAAAAUUGAUGGUGUAUGGACAAAAAUAAUACAUAAAAAAUAUAUUAAUUCUAAUUUAUAAAAGAUAAAUACACAUUAGUUAUCAUAAUACAAAAUUAAAAAAAAAUAUAUUAGUCACUAACUUUUUUUUAGUUGAAAUCUUUAAAAUAUUUAUCUUGUCUUCAUAUUUUAAAAAUGCUAAAUAAUUAUUUUAUUAUCAAUUUGAUUAAAUAUCUUUUUUAUACAUGUGUUACAAUUUAAAAUGAGUCAUGAUUGAUGUUCAGGAAAAUAGUCUCCUAGCAAACCUAACAGAUUCUAAUAUAAUAUAAAUAAAAAGGUUAUAAAUAUUUUUAAUAAAUUUACAUUUUCUAGAAUAAAUAAUUACAUAUUUAACAAAAAAUAAAAUAAAUAAAUAUGAAUGGAUCCUGUUUAUGAUAUAUGGAGCAGAUAACAUCUAAGAACUCAAUAAAAAAUAGGUAUUCAUUGCACAUUAUUAUUCUUGAAUAGAAAGACUCACAUAAUCAAGUAUUUGUUCCCAAAAAAUAUUUUUAGAAAAAUGGAAUGAAUUUUAUAAUCCAAUGACUAGACAAUAUAUCUAUAAUUCACAUGAAAUCAUAUAAAUAUUAUUAUAAAAUAAUUUUAGUUAGAAAAUAAUAAUUUAUAUGAAUAAGUGAAUCAAUAAAGAAGUUUGCAUACAAAAAUCAAACUAAAAGUUCACACUUAGCAACUUCUCUUCUAUGAAUAGCCUUUUUCUCUUGUGUAUCUUAAUAGAAUAACAAAUCUAAUACAAUUAUUUUUGUUUAAGUGUGUUGCUAACUCUCUUAAUUAUCUUGUCUUGUACUAUUAAUGUUAAUAUUUUUUUUUUUUCAUGUUCAUUUUGGCCCUUUACUGAAAUAAAAUAAAAGGGAAAUGAAGGAGAAAAUAAAUUACAUUUUUUGUGAUGUUUUAUACUAUUUAUCCAUUAUUUUAUAGUCAUGAGGUAAGGAAUUUUUUUAUUAGUAUACUUAAUAUUUAAAGUCAUGAUAAUAAUUAUUUCAAAGAGGACCGUGUCAAAGAAUUUUUUAUAAGAGAAAAAGGAGCAUAUUGAUUUAUGUAAUAAUUACCGUUUUUAAUUUUUAUGAUUGUUCAAUUGUCUUUUUUAUGUGUACUAUCAAAUGUUUAAUUUGUUGUUUUGUUUUGUUUUUUUGUUAUUGCUUAUAUCUUAUGGCUUGUGGUUUUGAUUUAUGAUUGUUAUGGGUAUUCUAUUUUCUUUCUAUGAUUAUUGUUUCGUUUUUCUUGCCUUUUUGUGUUGUUGUUUCUCAUUAAUUUCUUUAACUUCAUUUACUUCGAAUGUUUUAAGGUUGGUCUACAAAUAUUAUAGAUUUUUAGGCUUUGUAUUUUCUUUCUCUUCUUUGAUUAUAAAAGAUUGUGUCCUUCAAAAUUAAAAAAAAAAAUUAAAAGAAGAUAUAUGUUUGUUAAUUUAUCUAGACUGUCUCUUGACUAAUUAAUAAAUUUUGAUAUUAGAAAAGUCUUUUCAAUAUAUAUAUAUAGUUACGUAUUUUUUUGUUUUUUAUAUCUUGGGUCAAAAUUAAAAUCGUUUCUAACCUUUUUUUUAUUAAUAUCAUCCUUAAAGUUAUUGAAUAUUUUAAAAUUAUCUUUUUGAACAUAAUAAUUUUGUAAAUGACACAAAUGUCCUUUUUCUAUUAUCACUACCAUUACCCCAUCCACCAUGACCCCCAUUCCUUCCCACUUAAAACAGAAAAACCAAAACGAAAAAAAGAAUAAAAGAGGGAGAAGAAAGAAAAAAAAAGGAAGAAGAAGAAGUAACAUCAGAAAAAGGAUGGCUGCCGUCAUCGCUUUGUGACGGUAGUGAGAGACAAGACGAGGAUAUGAGAGAUAGAACAAAAGAAGAGAGAAACAAAGAGGGAGAAGAAAGGAAAGGAAAGGAAGAAGAGGGAGGUGACGGCGGAGAAGAGUGCGGUCGCUACCGUCGCACCAUGAAGGAGAGAUGACAACGGAAAAGAGUGCGGCCGCCGCCAUCGCGUCGUGACUGAGGUGGGAGCUGCUAUGUCAGUGUCGAACUCCAUCACCGUCGUCGAGCUUCUAGUGGUGAGAGGAUCUGCUCUUCUCCCUCUCUCGAUCUGAUAUGUCUCAUAAAAACAUAUAGUCUCAUGUGCAUAUUAAAAUGAGCUUAACAAGAAUAGAUAUUUAGCUUUAAUAAAUCGAUCAUUCAAGCCAAAUUAAAAUUCUUUGAUAGUAAUUUUGAUAAUAAUCUUUGUAAGUAUAAUUAUAAGUUCAACGCAUCGUAUACUAAAUUAAUUAUAGACGAAAAGCAAAACAGUUAUAAAUAUAAAGUCUACUCACAAUUUGGUCCCAAGGAACUAAAGAUACCGAACCUGAAGUACCAAAUUCAAGGUGAGAAGUAUUGAAAUAGAAUGGAACGAAUGAGUGCAGAAUUUAGACCGAGACAGUGACAAGGUGGAACUGGAGAUAGUUCUGAGAAUAAAAAAUAGAGCAAAACUAAAGUUGAAUUAAAACAAAGACAUGGCAGAUUAAAUGGUGGUAGAAUAGGACAUAAAAGCUAGAACAGAAUCAGGAAAAAAGGCUAGACUGGGAUAAUGACAGGAAUAGCUCCGGCUGUAAUACCAUAUUACACAAAGUUUUACGCUUAAGUCGUAGAAGAGAGGUAAUAUGGUGUUACGGACCUCUAGACAGCAAAAUAAAUACAUAAUAGAGAAUAAGAUAAUAUACUAGGAACCUUGAAACAAAACGGUUAAGCAAAAAUUGCAAAAUGAAAAGUGCAACGCUCAAAGGAAAGGAUUACUUGCGUGCUAAGAAACCUAAUAGGAACAUGAUAAAACAAUAAACAAAAGGAUAAAGAAAAGCCAAGGAACAGCAUAACUAGCCCCUGACUCAGCCUGCGAAGCUAAGGCUGGCCGAAGGAUACAUAUAUACAUAUAAACAUACAUAAGUAUCCCCAAAUAUACCAAAAUAACAAAGUAAGCUCCUAUCUCUCCCUCAACCUCUAAGAGGAGCAGCGUACAUAAGUUACUUGGAGAGUAAGCUACACACAUAUAUAUAUACAUAUAUACAAAUAGAAACCAAAAUACACCCAAAGACUACUUCGCUUUCCAGGAUCCAGACGCCUAGCGAGGAGCCUCUCGACCUGCAUCUGAAAAACAACAAUACAAUAUGGAAUAAGAACCGGAGGUUCUCAGCAUGGUAAAAGUGCCACGCAUAUAAUAAAUAAGGUCCUGAGAAUGCCAUAGGCAAUCCUAGAACUCCGUUAUUCAGUUAUCCAACUUAAAUACUAACCAUAAGCCAUAAAUAGAGGUAGGUGUUCUAAUUCUACCUAACUUACUCAAGUUCAAACUUAACCUAACACCAAACCAUUUCCUCUGUUUCCUCCAUCCUUUCAUCAUUCAGAAUGCAACAGAAACAGGCAAUCAAACAAGUUCAUGCACAAGUAGUGAGCAGAUAGUACAAAUAGCAAGUAUAACAGAUAGUAGGUGACUUAUAUCAACUAGGCAAACCCAGGAAAUGCAUAGCAGUCAAACAAACAAAUGCAUAUGAUGCAUGCCUGUCCUAUGGAUGAUGGAGCCCAUCUGUCGGUUAUCCAGCCAACCCGACAAGUCCGAAAACCUUAGACUGUCCCCCGUCGCGCAUCCCCAAGAGUCUAUGCAUAGAGUUCACAUUCAUUCAUCAUAUAAUCACUCAAUGGGGGCUAUCCAUACCCAGGAAUUUAUACGUGCCCGGUCACCCUUACGACGUAGGGUCAACAGAGUAUCGAGAUUCAACCUGGAACACGUGGUGCCGAGCCACGGUUCUUACCCAGGAAAACUCGUAUCUCAGAUAUCUUUAUUCAUAAGCCAUGACAAUUAUCAUCAAUACAUCAUCAAAUAACAAGCCUGAACUUUAAACUUCAUUAACAUUCUUAUUUUCUUCAUAAAAACCACCGUUUACAACUUUUUUCACCCUCAAGUUAUCUUGUUUUCCUAGCUUCUUUUAUCUACUGAACCUAGAACCAUAUCUUAAACCUUAAAGGGAAGAAAAUGGAGGUUUAGAAGUGGAAAUUGGUUUCAAAAUGGCCAAAACCAAUUUUUGCAGCAGGCAGCAUCCACGUGUACGCGUAGGCCACGCGCACAUGUCAAGUAUACAUCAAGUCACGCGUACGCGUGAGUCAUGCGUACGCGUGAAUAUGCACACAUGCAUACGCAUGCCUCUCGCGCAUGCGUCGCCAGAACUCCACACCACGCGUACGCAUGGAUGGCGCAUUUUUGAAAAUAAUGGGCAGAAUGCCCAGAAGCAUUCUGCAAUCAACUUUGCCACCCUGCAACACAACUUUAUACACCAAACUUGUAACGUCCAUAACUUUCUCUACGAAAUUCUAUUUUUCACAAAAUUAAUAUCAAUCAAAAGCCCUUAAAACCAUCUUUUACUUACAAUAAACCACAAUUCAAUCCAAAAUUUGAGGAUAAUAUUAUGGACGUCCAAAGUUCAUCAAAAUUUAGUUUUAACCACUUUCAACAAAAUCUCAUUUUCACCAACUUAAGUUUCUUACCAUUUAAACUUACAUUGUAAUGCCAUAUCAACUCAAUUCAUCAACAACCAUUGCCAAUAUAAGCUUUAAUCAACUUAACCAACCUUGAUCAUCAAUAAUUAUCCAUUUUUACCUCAUACAUCAAUAACCCUUCAUUUGUUCAUAUCAAUUCUUCACCUGUACCAACUUUCAUCAACAUAUACCAAUUAAAAUACCAUUAACACAAAUCAACCCUUCACACACAUUAAUCCAUCAACUUAACAUAAUAACUAUUUAUUAACAAUUACCAACCAUAAUUCAUCAAUAUCAACAUUUAUACCAACAACAACACAAAGCUACUCAUUAAAUGCCAUUAACAAAUUCAACUUAUCCUAUGGUUCUUCUAACCUAAGUUUUCACAACACCGUAAAUUUUAAACGUGCGAAACUUAAACCAUACCUUGGC
Molecule: long non-coding RNA, 36261 nt
Filed under: Arachis ipaensis
Lineage: Eukaryota; Viridiplantae; Streptophyta; Magnoliopsida; Fabales; Fabaceae
Description: long non-coding RNA (AIPA_LNC001884)
Source: RNAcentral